UACGGAGGAUCCGAGCGUUAUCCGGAUUUAUUGGGUUUAAAGGGUGCGCAGGCGGGAGAUUAAGUCGGCGGUGAAAUUUUGCAGCUCAACUGUAAAAGUGCCUUCGAAACUGGUUUUCUUGAGUGUGGAUGAAGUAGGCGGAAUUUGUGGUGUAGCGGUGAAAUGCAUAGAUAUCACGAGGAACUCCGAUUGCGCAGGCAGCUUACUAAACCAUAACUGACGCUCAGGCACGAAGGCGUGGGGAUCAAACAGGAUUAGAUACCCGGGUAGUCCCU
RNAcentral lists this ribosomal RNA (275 nucleotides) under uncultured prokaryote. RNAcentral describes it as "partial 16S ribosomal RNA". It matches the Rfam family "Bacterial small subunit ribosomal RNA", at positions 524 to 798 of the family's 1533-position model. The record is from RNAcentral.